RNAcentral lists this long non-coding RNA (2207 nucleotides) under Calidris pugnax (ruff). Its description in RNAcentral is "lncRNA (ENSCPUG00000012837.1)". The record is from RNAcentral. Lineage: Eukaryota; Metazoa; Chordata; Aves; Charadriiformes; Scolopacidae.
CUCCUCCCCAUGUCCACGGUGCCAUCUGGGUGUCCCCAUGGGGUGGUGGCACCUCGUCCCCUCACCCACGGUGCCACCUGGAUGUCCCCAUGGCUUGGUGGCACCUUGUCCUCCUGUCCAUGUCUCCUCCAGCUCGGUGUCACCUCGUCCCCUCACCCAUGGUGCCACCUGGGUGUCCCCAAGGGGUGGUGGCACCUCGUCCCCAUGUCCACAGCUCUGUCCUCCUGUCCAUGUCUCCUCCAGCUCGGUGUCACCUCGUCCCCUCACCCAUGGUGCCACCUGGGUGUCCCCAAGGGGUGGUGGCACCUCGUCCCCAUGUCCACAGCUCAGUCCAUGUCUCCUCCAGCUCGGUGUCACCUUGUCCCCUUGCCCACGGUGCCAUCUGGAUGUCCCCAUGGCUUGGUGGCACCUCGUCCCCAUGUCUCCUCCAGCUUGGUGGCACCUCAUCCCCAUGGCCCUGGCACAGACCGAGUGUCCCCAAGGUUUGGUGGCACCUUGUCCCCAUGUCCACGGUGCCACCUGGGUGUCCCCAAGGCUUGGUGGCACCUCAUCCCAUGUCUCCUCCAGCUCGGUGGCACCUCGUCCCCAUGGCCCUGGCACAGACCGAGUGUCCCCAAGGUUUGGUGGCACCUUGUCCCCAUGUCCACGGUGCCACCUGGGUGGCUCAGUCCCCAUGUCCCACACCAGGUGGGAGUUUUGGCUGAAGCUCUUGCCUCCUCCAUCUCGGUGGCACCUCGUCCCCAUGGCCCUGGCACAGACCUUGUGUCCCCAAGGCUUGGUGUCACCUCCUCCCCUCACCCAUGGUGCCAUCUGGAUGUCCCCUAGGCUUGGUGGCACCUCGUCCCCAUGUCCACAGCUCAGUCCAUGUCUCCAUCUUGGUGGCACCUUGUCCCCAUGUCCCUGGCACAGACCGAGUGUCCCCAAGGCUUGGUGGCACCUUGUCCCCAUGUCCCCAGCUCAGUCCAUGUCUCCUCCAGCUUGGUGUCACCUCGUCCCCUUGCCCGUGAUGCCACCUGGGUGUCCCCAUGGCUUGGUGGCACCUCAUCCUUGUGGUCCAGUCCGUCUGUCCCCCAUCCUGGUGUCACCUUGUCCCCAUGUCCCUGGCACAGUCCUUGUGUCCCCAAGGCUUGGUGGCACCUUGUCCCCAUGUCCAUGGCUCAGUCCCCAUGUCCUCCAGCUCCAUGCCACCUCCUCCCCAUGGCCAUAGCUCAGUCCCUGUGUCCCCCACCUUGGUGCCACCUCCUCCCUGUGGCCAUAGCUCAGUCCCCAUGUCCCUCACCUUGGUGCCACCUUGUCCCCUUGCCCAUGGCUCGGUCCGUGGUCCUCCAGCUCGGUGCCACUUCCUCCCUGUGGCCAUAGCUCAGUCCCCAUGUCCUCCAGCUUGGUGCCACCUCCUCCCCAUGGCCAUAGCUCAGUCCCCAUGUCCUCCAGCUUGGUGCCACCUCCUCCCCGUGGCCAUAGCUCAGUCCCCAUGUCCUCCAGCUUGGUGUCUCCUCCUCCCCAUGGCCAUAGCUCAGUCCCCAUGUCCUCCAGCUUGGUGUCUCCUCCUCCCCAUGGCCAUAGCUCAGUCCCCAUGUCCUCCAGCUCGGUGCCACCACGUCCCCAUGGGUCAGUCCGCGCGUGUCCCCCCUCUCAGGGGACAAAGAGGGGCUUGUGGACGCGCUUGUGGCGGUUGAGCGUGGCGCUGCGGGCGAAGCUCUCCCCACACUCAACACAGAUGAAAGGCUCUGGUGGCCCCCCAUCUCGGGGUUGCCCCCCGGCCCCGUGGACCCGUUGGUGCUUCAGCAGGUUGCCGCUCUGGGCGAAGCCCCGGCCGCAAUGGGCGCAGCGGUGGGGCCGAGCCCCCGAGUGGGUGCGUUGGUGUUUGAUGAGGUUCUUGCUCUGGGUGAAGCUCUUCCCGCACUCGGGGUCACCUCCUCCCUGUCCCCGGGGCUCGGGCCCUGUCCCCCCCACUUUGGUGGCACCUCAUCCCCACGUCCAUGGCUCGGUCCCUGUGUCCCUCAGCUCUGUCUCACCUUGUCCCUGUCCCCGUGGCUCCGUCCCCAUGUCCUCCAGCUUGGUGCCACCUCCUCCCCAUGGCCAUACCUCAGUCCCCAUGUCCUCCAGCUUGGUGCCACCUCAUCCCCAUGGCCAUAGCUCAGUCCCCAUGUCCUCCAGCUUGGUGCCACCUCCUCCCCUUGCCCGUGGCUUGGUCCGAGGUCCUCCAG